Molecule: ribosomal RNA, 76 nt
Filed under: Oceanobacillus caeni
Lineage: Bacteria; Bacillati; Bacillota; Bacilli; Caryophanales; Bacillaceae
Also listed under: 1 other name
Description: partial 16S ribosomal RNA
Rfam family: Bacterial small subunit ribosomal RNA
Source: RNAcentral
UUUUUGGAGAGUUUGAUCUUGGCUCAGGACGAACGCUGGCGGCGUGCCUAAUACAUGCAAGUCGAGCGCUGGAAGC